RNAcentral lists this microRNA (24 nucleotides) under Panagrellus redivivus. RNAcentral's name for it is "prd-miR-86-5p". Its record names the gene prd-miR-86-5p. Lineage: Eukaryota; Metazoa; Nematoda; Chromadorea; Rhabditida; Panagrolaimidae. RNAcentral also lists the same sequence under 6 other names. The record is from miRBase by way of RNAcentral.
UAAGUGAAUGCUUUGCCACAGUCU